AGUGAACGCUGGCGGUAGGCCUAACACAUGCAAGUCGAACGGCAGCACAGUAAGAGCUUGCUCUUACGGGUGGCGAGUGGCGGACGGGUGAGGAAUACAUCGGAAUCUACUUUUUCGUGGGGGAUAACGUAGGGAAACUUACGCUAAUACCGCAUACGACCUACGGGUGAAAGCAGGGGAUCUUCGGACCUUGCGCGAUUGAAUGAGCCGAUGUCGGAUUAGCUAGUUGGCGGGGUAAAGGCCCACCAAGGCGACGAUCCGUAGCUGGUCUGAGAGGAUGAUCAGCCACACUGGAACUGAGACACGGUCCAGACUCCUACGGGAGGCAGCAGUGGGGAAUAUUGGACAAUGGGCGCAAGCCUGAUCCAGCCAUACCGCGUGGGGUGAAGAAGGCCUUCGGGUUGUAAAGCCCUUUUGUUGGGAAAGAAAAGCAGCAGGUUAAUACCCCGCUGUUCUGACGGUACCCAAAGAAUAAGCACCGGCUAACUUCGUG
RNAcentral lists this ribosomal RNA (493 nucleotides) under uncultured bacterium. RNAcentral describes it as "partial 16S ribosomal RNA". It matches the Rfam family "Bacterial small subunit ribosomal RNA", at positions 29 to 507 of the family's 1533-position model. The record is from RNAcentral.